UACGUAGGGUGCGAGCGUUAAUCGGAAUUACUGGGCGUAAAGCGUGCGCAGGCGGUUGUGCAAGACAGAUGUGAAAUCCCCGGGCUUAACCUGGGAACUGCAUUUGUGACUGCACGGCUAGAGUGUGUCAGAGGGGGGUAGAAUUCCACGUGUAGCAGUGAAAUGCGUAGAGAUGCGGAGGAACACCGAUGGCGAAGGCAGCCCCCUGGGCUAACACUGACGCUCAGGCACGAAAGCGUGGGGAGCAAACAGG
RNAcentral lists this ribosomal RNA (253 nucleotides) under uncultured bacterium. RNAcentral's name for it is "partial 16S ribosomal RNA". It matches the Rfam family "Bacterial small subunit ribosomal RNA", at positions 524 to 776 of the family's 1533-position model. The record is from RNAcentral.